UGGACGCUCUGGAAAGCACCUGUGGCCCCAGAGGAGUGGCGACGGGCAGCAGCGCUUCGUGAUCCUGAUUUCUUCCACCCCAGGCAAGAAGUGCCCACCAUGGGUACCACCACCACCCCUCCCCCGAGGACUAAAUGAGCAGCAGGGAGUGACAAACAGUCAGGUGCACCUAAGUUCCAGCCAAGCUCUACCAUCGACACUCUAUGACUUGGGGAGGACCCCAGGGAAGAUGAUUCAAGCAAUGCUGAGGAGGCUGCACUCUGCCCAAGAGCUGAAGCCCGUGAGAAGAACCUAACAGGCUCAUGGUCUGGCCCUCAUGGACACCCCGGGGACCACCAGGUGAAGUGGAGUCAAGGCCUGCUCUCAACCCUGGGCAUGGGUGGAGACAUGAGUCAGCAUGAGUGGCCUGAGGGGGAGGGUCAGCAGCCCUGUCCGAGGCAAUGGGAAAAGCACUGAAUUUUAAGGCAAAUGGCCCAGGUUGAGUCCUGGCUCCUCCCUCUGCCUUCACUAGUUUUGUAAUGUUGAACAAGUCAAUACAUGAAUUUCAUAAUCUAUA
This 556-nucleotide long non-coding RNA is filed under the name Homo sapiens (human). RNAcentral describes it as "HSALNT0176631". The record is from RNAcentral. Lineage: Eukaryota; Metazoa; Chordata; Mammalia; Primates; Hominidae.